AGUCUGAUGGAGCAACGCCGCGUGAGUGAAGAAGGGUUUCGGCUCGUAAAGCUCUGUUGGUAGUGAAGAAAGAUAGAGGUAGUAACUGGCCUUUAUUUGACGGUAAUUACUUAGAAAGUCACGGCUAACUACGUGCCAGCAGCCGCGGUAAUACGUAGGUGGCAAGCGUUGUCCGGAUUUAUUGGGCGUAAAGCGAGUGCAGGCGGUUCAAUAAGUCUGAUGUGAAAGCCUUCGGCUCAACCGGAGAAUUGCAUCAGAAACUGUUGAACUUGAGUGCAGAAGAGGAGAGUGGAACUCCAUGUGUAGCGGUGGAAUGCGUAGAUAUAUGGAAGAACACCAGUGGCGAAGGCGGCUCUCUGGUCUGCAACUGACGCUGAGGCUCGAAAGCAUGGGUAGCGAACAGGAUUAGAUACCCUGGUAGUCCAUGCCGUAAACGAUGAGUGCUAAGUGUUGGGAGGUUUCCGCCUCUCAGUGCUGCAGCUAACGCAUUAAGCACUCCGCCUGGGGAGUACGACCGCAAGGUUGAAACUCAAAGGAAUUGACGGGGGCCCGCACAAGCGGUGGAGCAUGUGGUUUAAUUCGAAGCAACGCGAAGAACCUUACCAGGUCUUGACAU
RNAcentral lists this ribosomal RNA (616 nucleotides) under Lactobacillus gasseri. RNAcentral's name for it is "bacterial SSU rRNA". It matches the Rfam family "Bacterial small subunit ribosomal RNA", at positions 380 to 987 of the family's 1533-position model. Lineage: Bacteria; Bacillati; Bacillota; Bacilli; Lactobacillales; Lactobacillaceae. The record is from RNAcentral.